GCAAUUCAAGCGGAUGAAGGGAGCUGCUUCCGGAUCCAGCGCCGGACGGGUGAUAAAUCCAUAGGAAUCUGCCUGGUAGUGGGGGACAACGUUUCGAAAGAAACGCUAAUACGGCAUACGUCCUACGGGAGAAAGCAGGGGACCUUCGGCCCUGCGCUAUCAGAUGAGCCUAGGUCGGAUUAGCUAGUUGGUGAGGUAAUGGCUCACCAAGGCGACGAUCCGUAACUGGUCUGAGAGGAUGAUCAGUCACACUGGAACUGAGACACGGUCCAGACUCCUACGGGAGGCAGCAGUGGGGAAUAUUGGACAAUGGGCGAAAGCCUGAUCCAGCCAUGCCGCGUGUGUGAAGAAGGUCUUCGGAUUGUAAAGCACUUUAAGUUGGGAGGAAGGGUUGUAGAUUACUACUCUGCAAUUUUGACGUUACCGACAGAAUAAGCACCGGCUAACUCUGUG
RNAcentral lists this ribosomal RNA (453 nucleotides) under uncultured bacterium. RNAcentral's name for it is "bacterial SSU rRNA". It matches the Rfam family "Bacterial small subunit ribosomal RNA", at positions 57 to 507 of the family's 1533-position model. The record is from RNAcentral.